RNAcentral lists this ribosomal RNA (459 nucleotides) under uncultured bacterium. RNAcentral describes it as "partial 16S ribosomal RNA". It matches the Rfam family "Bacterial small subunit ribosomal RNA", at positions 338 to 795 of the family's 1533-position model. The record is from RNAcentral.
CCUACGGGAGGCAGCAGUGAGGAAUAUUGGGCAAUGGGCGGAAGCCUGAACCAGCCAAGUAGCGUGCGGGAUGAAGGCCCUACGGGUCGUAAACCGCUGUUGCACGGGGAUAACAACCUCCACUUGUGGAGGUCUGCAGGUACCGUGCGAAUAAGGGCCGGCUAAUUCCGUGCCAGCAGCCGCGGAAAUACGGAAGGCCCGAGCGUUAUCCGGAUUAAUUGGGCGGAAGGGGAGCGUGGGGGGGCGUUCAAGUCAGCUGUAAAAUAGCGCGGCGAAACCGCGCCCCGCAGUUGAAACUGGACGCCUUGAGUGCACAACAGGCAGGCGGAAUUCGUGGUGGAGCGGUGAAAUGCAUAGAUAUCACGAGGAACCCCGAUUGCGAAGGCGGCCUGCCGGGGUGCGCCUGACGCUGAGGCUCGAAGGUGCGGGUAUCAAACAGGAUUAGAUACCCUAGUAGUC